This 327-nucleotide long non-coding RNA is filed under the name Gossypium barbadense (sea-island cotton). RNAcentral describes it as "long non-coding RNA (GBAR_LNC015835)". The record is from RNAcentral. Lineage: Eukaryota; Viridiplantae; Streptophyta; Magnoliopsida; Malvales; Malvaceae.
UCUUCUUUCCUUCCUAGAUCUUAAAAGUAUCAGUCUACAUAUAUAAUAAUUGCCAUUAAAAUGCCCAAAGUUAGCAAAGCUUGGAAGUUCUCUUCCCUAUGGUAAAAAGCUUUAGUUUCAGCUCAGGAAAUGUUAUCAUGGUUUUUUGGUUUGAGAAAACGGUCACCAAUUUUCUGAGGCAAAAUUGAGUAUCAAAAACUAGUUUUUUCCUAAUCCAAAAGUUUCAUAACUCUGCCUUUGAUUCUAGAUCGUCCGAUGAUUGGUCAUUAGAGGAAGUCUCAGGUGAUGAUGAUGAUGGUGAUGGUAGUGGAUCAGGGUUUUCCAGUU